RNAcentral lists this ribosomal RNA (498 nucleotides) under uncultured bacterium. RNAcentral's name for it is "partial 16S ribosomal RNA". It matches the Rfam family "Bacterial small subunit ribosomal RNA", at positions 30 to 523 of the family's 1533-position model. The record is from RNAcentral.
AUUGAACGCUGGCGGCAUGCCUUACACAUGCAAGUCGAACGGUAACAGGUCUUCGGAUGCUGACGAGUGGCGAACGGGUGAGUAAUACAUCGGAACGUGCCUAGUAGUGGGGGAUAACUACUCGAAAGAGUGGCUAAUACCGCAUGAGAUCUACGGAUGAAAGCAGGGGAUCGCAAGACCUUGUGCUACUAGAGCGGCCGAUGGCAGAUUAGGUAGUUGGUGGGAUAAAAGCUUACCAAGCCGACGAUCUGUAGCUGGUCUGAGAGGACGAUCAGCCACACUGGGACUGAGGCACGGCCCAGACUCCUACGGGAGGCAGCAGUGGGGAGUUUUGGACAAUGGGCGAAAGCCUGAUCCAGCAAUGCCGCGUGCAGGAUGAAGGCCUUCGGGUUGUAAACUGCUUUUGUACGGAACGAAAAGCCCCGGGUUAAUACCCUGGGGUCAUGACGGUACCGUAAGAAUAAGCACCGGCUAACUACGUGCCAGCAGCCGCGGUAA